AUUGAACGCUGGCGGCAUGCCUUACACAUGCAAGUCGAACGGCAGCACAGGUGCUUGCACCUGGUGGCGAGUGGCGAACGGGUGAGUAAUACAUCGGAACGUACCUUAUCGUGGGGGAUAACGCAGCGAAAGUUGCGCUAAUACCGCAUACGCCCUGAGGGGGAAAGCGGGGGACCGUAAGGCCUCGCGCGAUUAGAGCGGCCGAUGUCUGAUUAGCUAGUUGGUGAGGUAAAGGCUCACCAAGGCAACGAUCAGUAGCUGGUCUGAGAGGAAGAUCAGCCACACGGGGACUGAGAGACGGACCAGAGUCCUACGGGGGGCAGCAGUGGGGAAUUUUGGACAAUGGGGGCAACCCUGAUCCAGCAAUGCCGCGUGAGUGAAGAAGGCCUUCGGGUUGUAAAGCUCUUUUGUCAGGGAAGAAACAGCAGCUCUAACACAGUUUGCGAAUGACGGUACCUGAAGAAUAAGCACCGGCUAACUACGUGCCAGCAGCCGCCGUAA
Molecule: ribosomal RNA, 501 nt
Filed under: uncultured bacterium
Lineage: Bacteria
Description: partial 16S ribosomal RNA
Rfam family: Bacterial small subunit ribosomal RNA
Source: RNAcentral